GGGGACCCGCAAGCGGUGGAGCAUGUGGUUUAAUUCGAAGCAACGCGAAGAACCUUACCAAAUCUUGACAUCCUCUGACCACCCUGGAGACAGGGUUUCCCUUCGGGGCAGAGUGACAGGUGGUGCAUGGUUGUCGUCAGCUCGUGUCGUGAGAUGUUGGGUUAAGUCCCGCAACGAGCGCAACCCUUAUCAUUAGUUGCCAGCAUUCAGUUGGGCACUCUAAUGAGACUGCCGGUGACAAACCGGAGGAAGGUGGGGAUGACGUCAAAUCAUCAUGCCCCUUAUGAUUUGGGCUACACACGUGCUACAAUGGACAGGUAACAAAGGGCAGCUAAGCCGCGAGGCCAAGCGAAUCCCAUAAAACUGUUCUCAGUUCGGAUUGGAGUCUGCAACUCGACUCCAUGAAGCUGGAAUCGCUAGUAAUCGUGGAUCAGAAUGCCACGGUGAAUACGUUCCCGGGGUCUUGUACACACC
This 474-nucleotide ribosomal RNA is filed under the name uncultured bacterium. RNAcentral describes it as "bacterial SSU rRNA". It matches the Rfam family "Bacterial small subunit ribosomal RNA", at positions 915 to 1391 of the family's 1533-position model. The record is from RNAcentral.